UUCCAAUAUCAAUACCUCAACUUACGCCUUCCCUUAUAUAGACAAUUUUAAGCUGUGUUUCUUAAAUGCAUUAUCAGGUAGCUAAAGAAAGUGCUGAUGUUAUAGUACUUGAUGACAACUUCAGUACAAUUGUGAAUGUGGCUAAGCGGGGUCGUGCUGUGUAUGUAAAUAUUCAGAAGUUUGUGCAAUUCCAGCUAACUGUCAGUAUUGUGGCUCUGAUGAUCAAUUUUAUUUCCGCAUGCAUCUCAGCAGGAUCGGCUCCUCUUUCAGUGGUUCAGUUGCUUUGGGUCAACCUUAUCAUGGACACUUUAGGUGCAAUUGCCUUGGCCACUGAACCACCUCAUGAAGGACUAAUGAGCAAGCCUCCUGUUGGAAGGGAAGUGAGUUUAAUUUCCAAGACGAUGUGGAGAAAUAUGAUUGGACAGAGUAUCUACCAACUGGCUGUACUAUUGGUUUUCAACUUCACUGGACAUCAGAUUUUGAGAAUUGAAGGUUCAGACACUACCACAGUUCUCCAUACUUUCAUUUUCAACACAUUUGUGUUCUGUCAGGUAUUUAAUGAAAUAAACUGCCGGGACAUGGAUAAGAUAAAUGUUUUCCGUGGCAUUUUUGGAAGCUGGAUAUUCUUAGGUGUUGUGGUUUCUACUGUUAUCUUCCAAGUAAUCAUAGUCGAGUUCUUAGGCACAAUUGCAAGCACAACACCACUCAGCUGGGAACUAUGGCUUCUCAGUGUUUUAAUUGGUGCUGCAAGCCUGAUGGUUGCUGUAAUUUUGAAGUUGAUACCUGUCGAACAGAAGAAUACCAAGCACCAUGAUGGUUAUGAUUUACUGCCAAAUGGUCCAGAACUUGCCUAAGAAAAGGGGAGAGCCAAUGGAUAAUAGAAAGCCAUGCGAUAUGAGAAAGUUUAAUUGGUCCAAGUUCGAAUGAUACAAUACCUGGUUUUCAGGUGAGGAAAGGAAAACAACACCAAUGGAAAGAAAAUACAGACAAAAGAUUUCAACAGCUCAUACACCAAUAAACCUCCAAGAACCAGUUCAAAGUAUCAGAGCAUUAGUGAGAAAAGAUCGAUGUGCGUCAUUCCCGCGACAUCCAGGAAGACAUAACUCAAUCACCGUGCAAUUUUCCGGUGACCUAAGUGACUGAUUUGUCACGUUUGGUGAGUGUUGUGCACAAACAAAUACCACCAUUGGACUCAGAAACCUCCGACGACUAAACCCCAAAAAGAUUCUCCGGAAACAGAUGCCCCACGCGCCACCCAGAUCUGACAUUCCGCCGACGCGUUUGUCCCACGCACCGGUGCGUGAGUGCAUCUCCAGCUAUAUUUUGGUCAAGCUUCUUCAGGACAACCUGGUCGCACAAUAAUUCCAAGUCUACCAGUACUAUUUCCGACAAAUUCCGACAACUUUGGAAUUUUCCGGCGAGCUACAGUAUUUUCCGACGUAAAAUAGUGUUAUGUUUUUAUGCUGUGAACAGUGUUUUCCCAAAUAUUUCUUCAGUUUUCCUGCAGGAGUUACUGAUUUCCACUAUUUCAAGUUAAUCGUACUACUUUUAGUCAUGAUUUUGAGAAAUAAAUUGUAGCGAAAUGGGAUCCAAUAGUAUGAAUGGUUGGAUUUCUCUACUGGAUUAUAUUGAGUUUCUUCAGUAUAAAGCAUGUAAACAGACAUCUUCAGGGAUAGCUUCCGUUGUUCAAACAGAUAGUAGCGUUACUUAUGUCUCCCAAUCUUCAACCUCUAAGUCUUGGGUCAUUGCUUCAGGUGCAUCUGAUCAUAUUUCUGGUAACAACUCUCUUUUCACUGCUAUUUCAUGUUCUCAAUCUCUCCCAACAGUCAUAAUGGUCAACGAGUCUCAAACCACGGCAACCGGAAUAGGACAA
Molecule: non-coding RNA, 1873 nt
Organism: Nicotiana tabacum (common tobacco)
Lineage: Eukaryota; Viridiplantae; Streptophyta; Magnoliopsida; Solanales; Solanaceae
Source: RefSeq, a predicted model, not a curated record